ACUCCUGUGCCUGGCUUACUGUUUGGGGAUGAUCUUACUCAAGCUACCAAACAGAUUGAGGAGGCCGAAAGGCUGAAGAACAAGUUUACCCACAAGAAGACUUCCCAUUUUGGAGCUCCCAGGUCUUGGGAAGUUAAGUGGUGGUAAGCAACGUGGUUUCUUUGGGAAGCCAGCUUUCUGGGGUAUGUCUACCCGGUUUAAACCUUACGGCUUACACAAACCUGCCACCAGAGGGGACGGCCGCCCUACUUAUCACAGAGGGAACUCCUCUUCAAAAAACCCAAGGGGCCGGGGACACUACAAUCCCCGGCAGUAAUUCAGGUAAGGAAUGACUUUGAAGCGGGUCAGCUUCAUAAGUUUAUUGGUGAAUGGUGCAAACUUACUAGUGAUCCUUUCAUUUUGGACAUUGUUAAACAUUGCCAUCUUGAGAUUGAUGAACAGAACAUUACUCAUUUAUUUUCUGAGGAAGUGGAAUACAAAUUUAGUGAUGAGGAGAAAGUUAUUAUGACUAAUGAAAUAGAUAAAUUGUUGAGCCAGAAGGUUAUCAAAGAGACUCACAGACAGGUGGGCCAGAUUAUUUCACCAGUUUUCUUGAGAGAGAAAAAAGAGGGUGGCUACAGGUUGGUGCUUAACUUGAAGAAACUCAACAAAUUCAUGAAUUAUAUCCAUUUCAAAAUGGAAAAUUUUGAGCAGGCAAUUAGGCUAAUCAGUUCUAGCGCUUUCAUGGCUUCGGUGGAUCUGAAGCAUGCUUAUUAUUCAGUCAAAAUUGCAGAGGAGCAGCAAAAAUACCUUUGUUUUAAAUGGGCAGGGAAGAUAUACCAAUUCACUUGCCUUCCUAAUGGUGCUUCUGCAGGUCCUCGUCUUUUCACUAAACUUUUGAAGCUGAUUUUUUCUUUUUUGAGAUUGAAAGGCUACACCAUUACUUCCUUUAUAGAUGAUACUCUUAUGUGUAGCAAGUCAGUUGAGGAUUGUGUUGCUUGUUUAAAGGAUACUGUGGAAAUUUUGCAAAAUGUGGGGUUUUGUAUUAAUGUGGACAAGUCAGUUUUGGUGCCUACAAAACGCAUAGAAUAUCUUGGCAAUAUCAUCGAUUCUGAAGCCAUGACUGUCACACUCCCUGCUCGUAGAGUGAGGAAGAUUGUGGAAAGUUGUUCAUCCUUGGCCAGUAGAAAUAAGGCAAAGAUCAGAGAGGUAGCUCGAGUAGUUGGCAUGUUGGUAGCUGCCAUUCCGGCCGUUGAAUUAGGUAAGCUCCAUUACAGAAUUUUAGAAAAGGCCAAAAUUGUUGCAUUAAAGGUAGGAAAGGGCAACUUUGACAAAUUUAUGACUAUCUCAAAGGAAAUGAAAAUGGAGCUGAGUUGGUGGAUCUCUGAAGUAGGUACGCAAGUUCGGAAAAUUAUUCGGACUGCUCCUUCUGUUGAAGUUUUUACUGAUGCCUCAGAUUUAGGUUGGGGUGGUUGUGUAUUAAAGCAUUCCACCAAUGGUAAAUGGACAACAGAAGAAAGUUGCCUACACAUUAAUGCAAGGGAACUCAAGGCCAUCUUGUUUACCCUUCAAUCUUUUGCUUACUUGCUUAAAGGCUGCCAUGUUAAAGUUAUGUGUGAUAGUACCACAGCCAUUGCUUAUGUUAAUGAGAUGGGUGGAACUAAAUCACUAGUGUGUAACUCUAUCUGCAUUGAUAUCUGGAAUUGGUGUAAUUCCAAUGACAUCUGGAUUACUUGUGCACACAUACCAGGAAAGAAGAAUGUGUUGGCGGAUGAAGCCUCUCGUAAUUUUAAUGACAGACAUGAAUGGAAACUUAAUCCAAAGAUUUUUAAAGAGUUGUGUGUAGUUUUUGGAACUCCCUCCAUUGACUUAUUUGCUUCUCGCUUAAACAAGCAAAUAGAUUGUUUUUGCUCGUGGAGACCUGAUCCUGAAGCAAAGCAUGUGGAUGCGUUCACAUUAAAUUGGGCCAGUUUCGAUCUGAUUUACCUUUUCCCACCAUUUUCUCUCAUUACUAGGUGUCUACAGAAAAUGAGGGAGGAGAGAGCCAAGGGGUGGAUGGUUGUUCCAAUGUGGAAUUCCCAACCUUGGAUGGGCCCUCUUCUGCAAAUGUUGAUCAAGGCCCCCAGGCUCAUCACUCAGAAAACAAAUGUACUACGACAUCCCUCAUCAGCGGAAGAACACCCGAUUAUGACCCACACCCAAUUGAUGGCAUGUCUUUUGUCAGGCAACAACUUAGAGGGAGAGGUGUAUCGUCAGAAGGUACAGAGAUUAUCAUGGCAUCGUGGAGACCAGGUAUGCUGAAACCUGGGAUGUGCAGCCAGUAUUGCAGAAGCUGAGAUCCAUGAGCCCAUUACAAGACCUAUCUUUGAAAUCUUUAACUUUGAAAUUGGUGAUGCUUAUGGCAUUGACUCAAGCUGCAAGAGUACAGACCUUACAUUUAUUAUUGUAUUCCAAUGCUAUUGUUGAUAACAAUUCUGUAUCUCUUUUGUUAGGGGGCAACAUUAAGCAGUGUCGUCCGAAGUUUAAUGUGAGAAUGCUUAAGUUUCAUGCUUAUUUACCUGAUUCUAGAAUGUGUGUUGUAAAUACCUUGAAGGAAUAUAUUAACAGAACGGAGAAUCUGAGAAAGGAACUUGGGAAGGAUAAUGGGAAACUCCUCAUCAGUGUGGUGAAGCCACAUAAAAGUGUUUCCAAAGCCAGCCUCUGCUUCCAAGGCCAAAGCCAUGGAUGCCCCAGUUAACAUUAUCUUAUCUAAGGCAGGUUGGACUCAGGAGACAACCUUUGCUAAACACUAUAAUAAGGAGAUCACUCAGGUUUCAGAUUUUUUUCAAGAGGCCAUACUGGAUUCUGUAUUGUAAUGUUAACAGGUUUCUCUAUUCAUUUGCGUUGGAUCUCAAUUGACAUAUUUUGUUUGUUUUAUACAUGUACUAUAUGUUUUUGUAAGGGACAUAUCUGUUUAAGGAGGAGGAUUUUUCAUACAAUGAAGUUGGGAUACAUA
Scylla paramamosain (green mud crab) is the source of this 2974-nucleotide long non-coding RNA. RefSeq lists it as uncharacterized. The transcript has 2 exons. NCBI's taxonomy places the organism in Eukaryota, Metazoa, Arthropoda, Malacostraca, Decapoda, Portunidae. The record is from RefSeq and is a predicted model, not a curated record.